GGAUGGGACUCCAGGUCUAAAGACUCAGGAUCUCAAGCCCCUCCCUGAUCUCAAGCCCCUCCCUUCCCCUCUUCCCUCUGCAUCUGUUUCUGUUUCUGCACCCGAGAGGUCAUCACCACAAAAGACCACGUGCUCUGUCAUCUUCCUCCAGUUCUGCCUCUUAAGACUUUUGGAGUUUUCUCCCUCAGUACCAUGCAAAAUCUUUUCCAGCGGUCCUUUGGUUAACUCAGCUGUGGAUACCGUCCCUGGGCAGAUCCAGUGCCUGGAGAGGGCAUGCAGAAUGCAUCUAUUUCGGAGCACCAGUGGGUCGACCUUAAGAUAGCUUCAUACUUACCAAGCCAUGAAGAAUUCUGGAUGCAACAGGACCCAGAGGACCCAGUGUGGAGACCACCAGGGUUCUUGGACCCUUUGCCUUUUACUGCUCGUAUGGGGACCUGAAAGCAGUUUCCCCUUUCAGUGUUCUCCCUCUCCCAGAAGUCUCUUUAAUUCAGUGCCAGCUUGCUCUAGUUUGGCCUCAUGCACCUUGUCGUCCAGGAGCCGUUUGCAUGAGAGUCUGUUGCCUCACGAGCUAACGGACAGGUGGCUGGGAUGAUACACUUGGACCACUCUUUCUUUCCCUUUAAAUGGAAAAUGCUUCAUUUGUAAUGGAGCUCCAGGUUAAUAAAAACAGACAAACAAAACCCUGGCAGUUUCUGUCACUCCUCAGUGAUCUUCAGGAAAGUCUAGAAUGUUACUGAAGAAGACUGAGGCUGUAUGGUGGCCUCUCUCCAGCGCUGCUCUCGCUGGCUGACCUGUUCUCUUUAUUACGAAGGUCAGCCGUUUAAUUAGGUUUUAACUUUGCACUUCCUUCAUACAUUUUCAUAUAAACUACAUACGACCCAAGAAGUCAGACCACGCUGUAGUUUUAGAUGCUUUUCUUACUCGUGUUUUUUGUGGAGACUGUCCAUGGUGACCCAGGGACAUCAGUGAUCCUGGGGUUGAAGUUCUUGGUCUUCAUUGUCAGCAUUUUGCUGACAGAUAUAACUCUGCCUUCCCUAGUCAUCGUGGUUUUAUAUAAACAAGCCACUCGGUUUCCAG
Molecule: long non-coding RNA, 1077 nt
Filed under: Rattus norvegicus (Norway rat)
Lineage: Eukaryota; Metazoa; Chordata; Mammalia; Rodentia; Muridae
Description: long non-coding RNA NONRATT012154
Source: RNAcentral